AGCCCAUGGUGAGGGCACCUUCGUAAUAAGUCCUUAUACAUCUCCCAUGCAUCAUAAGGAGUUUCUAGAUCCAUCUGCACAAAAAAAGAUAUAUCAUUCCUUAAUUU
Gossypium hirsutum (cotton) is the source of this 107-nucleotide non-coding RNA. Lineage: Eukaryota; Viridiplantae; Streptophyta; Magnoliopsida; Malvales; Malvaceae. The record is from Rfam.